UGAGGAAUAUUGGUCAAUGGACGCAAGUUUGAACCAGCGACGCCGCGUGCGGGAUGAAGGGGGCUUAGCCUCGUAAACCGCUGUCAAGAGGGACGAGAGGGCGAUUUUUGUCGUCCGGGGACGGUACCUCUGAAGGAAGGAUCGGCUAACUACGUGCCAGCAGCCGCGGUAAUACGUAGGAUCCGAGCGUUGUCCGGAAUUACUGGGCGUAAAGGGUGCGUAGGCGGCAAUGUGCGUCAGAGGUGAAAUCCACGGGCUUAACUUGUGGGGUGCCUUUGAUACGGCAUAGCUUGAGUACGAGAGAGGUCGAUGGAAUUCCUGGUGUAGCAGUGAAAUGCGUAGAUAUCAGGAGGAACACCGGUGGCGAAGGCGGUCGGCUGGCUCGUAACUGACGCUGAGGCA
This 402-nucleotide ribosomal RNA is filed under the name uncultured bacterium. RNAcentral's name for it is "bacterial SSU rRNA". It matches the Rfam family "Bacterial small subunit ribosomal RNA", at positions 355 to 753 of the family's 1533-position model. The record is from RNAcentral.